Molecule: ribosomal RNA, 292 nt
Filed under: uncultured eukaryote
Lineage: Eukaryota
Description: partial 18S ribosomal RNA
Rfam family: Eukaryotic small subunit ribosomal RNA
Source: RNAcentral
GGUUGAUCCUGCCAGUAGUCAUAUGCUUGUCUCAAAGAUUAAGCCAUGCAUGUCUAAGUAUAAAUGUGUAACAGUGAAACUGCGAAUGGCUCAUUAAAUCAGUUAUAGUCUACUUGAAUGAAUAUUACUACUUGGAUAUCCGUGGUAAUUCUAGAGCUAAUACAUGCGUUAAAUCCCGACUUCUGGAAGGGAUGUAUUUAUUAGAUAAAAAACCAACCUGGGUUAAACCAGUUGUUUGGUGAAUCAUAGUAACUUUUCGAAUCGUAUGACUUUAUGUCGACGAUGGUUCAUU